This 253-nucleotide ribosomal RNA is filed under the name uncultured bacterium. RNAcentral describes it as "partial 16S ribosomal RNA". It matches the Rfam family "Bacterial small subunit ribosomal RNA", at positions 524 to 776 of the family's 1533-position model. The record is from RNAcentral.
UACGGAGGAUGCAAGCGUUAUCCGGAAUGAUUGGGCGUAAAGCGUCCGCAGGUGGCUGUGUAAGUCUGCUGUUAAAGAGUGAGGCUCAACCUCAUAAAAGCAGUGGAAACUACACGGCUAGAGUGCGUUCGGGGCAGAGGGAAUUCCUGGUGUAGCGGUGAAAUGCGUAGAUAUCAGGAAGAACACCGGUGGCGAAAGCGCUCUGCUAGGCCGCAACUGACACUGAGGGACGAAAGCUAGGGGAGCAAACAGG